UGCCUACGGGAGGCAGCAGUGGGGGAUAUUGCACAAUGGGGGAAACCCUGAUGCAGCGACGCCGCGUGAGUGAAGAAGCAUUUCGGUGUGUAAAGCUCUAUCAGCAGGGAAGAAGAAAUGACGGUACCUGACUAAGAAGCCCCGGCUAACUACGUGCCAGCAGCCGCGGUAAUACGUAUGGGGCAAGCGUUAUCCGGAUUUACUGGGUGUAAAGGGAGCGUAGGCGGCCUGGCAAGCCUGAUGUGAAAUACCGGGGCCCAACCCCGGGGCUGCAUUGGGAACUGCC
Molecule: ribosomal RNA, 286 nt
Filed under: uncultured bacterium
Lineage: Bacteria
Description: partial 16S ribosomal RNA
Rfam family: Bacterial small subunit ribosomal RNA
Source: RNAcentral